AUUUACAUGUUGCAAAUUAAUCUUUAGAUAACCCCACCAUUGGAGGGCAGGGAGAAGACCAGCAGGAUAUUGUCUGACGCUCCUCUCUUCAUCACUGACUCACUUUGAGGAUGCUGGCUGCGGUAUAUAAACUUUGUGAUAUGCGAUGUGGAUCAAGAGGAAGGCAGCCUUAAACCAUAGUCAAACAGCAGACUCGCUGUCAACUCCAGCAUGUUACUAAGCUCUGAGAGCUCAGGAGAAACUAGUGUGAAGUGCUAUGCAAAUGCUGUUUGCCACACUCCAGGAGGACUUCAGGCUGCGACAAGGGACAGUACCUUAGCAGCCCAAGGGGGAACAGGGAGCCCGUCCUGAGAGAGAAAGCAGGCUUAUGGAGCCCCUCUGGAGAGAGACAGCAGGACACUCUAAUCGAUAGAGAAUUUGACCAAGCUGGAAGACCUGCCAAAUGCUGAGGCACGUGUGACCUGUUACAGAGUGACUGAGCAGCACCCCUAUUUCACGGAUGCAG
Long non-coding RNA from Chroicocephalus ridibundus (black-headed gull), 505 nucleotides. RefSeq lists it as uncharacterized. The record is from RefSeq and is a predicted model, not a curated record. The transcript is spliced from 3 exons. Lineage: Eukaryota; Metazoa; Chordata; Aves; Charadriiformes; Laridae.